RNAcentral lists this ribosomal RNA (567 nucleotides) under uncultured bacterium. RNAcentral's name for it is "bacterial SSU rRNA". It matches the Rfam family "Bacterial small subunit ribosomal RNA", at positions 338 to 916 of the family's 1533-position model. The record is from RNAcentral.
CCUACGGGAGGCAGCAGUGGGGAAUUUUCCGCAAUGGGCGAAAGCCUGACGGAGCAAUACCGCGUGAGGGAGGAAAGCCUUGGGGUUGUAAACCUCUUUAAUCAGGGAAGAAAAUUUGACGGUACCUGAAAAAAAAGCAUCGGCUAACUCCGUGCCAGCAGCCGCGGUAAUACGGAGGAUGCAAGCGUUAUCCGGAAUAAUUGGGCGUAAAGGGUCCGCAGGUGGCCAUUCAAGUCUGCUGUCAAAGACCGUGGCUCAACCGCGGGAAGGCAGUGGAAACUGUUUAGCUAGCAGAGUACGGUAGGGGUAGAGGGAAUUCCCAGUGUAGCGGUGAAAUGCGUAGAUAUUGGGAAGAACACCGGUGGCGAGAGCGCUCUACCGGGCCGAAACUGACACUGAGGGACGAAAGCUAGGGGAGCGAAAGGGAUUAGAUACCCCUGUAGUCCUAGCUGUAAACGAUGGAUACUAGGUGUAGCUUGUAUCGACCCGAGCUGUACCGAAGCUAACGCGUUAAGUAUCCCGCCUGGGGAGUACGCACGCAAGUGUGAAACUCAAAGGAAUUGACGG